Molecule: ribosomal RNA, 391 nt
Filed under: uncultured Bacteroides sp.
Lineage: Bacteria; Pseudomonadati; Bacteroidota; Bacteroidia; Bacteroidales; Bacteroidaceae
Description: bacterial SSU rRNA
Rfam family: Bacterial small subunit ribosomal RNA
Source: RNAcentral
CGCUAGCUACAGGCUUAACACAUGCAAGUCGAGGGGCAGCAUGGUCUUAGCUUGCUAAGGCUGAUGGCGACCGGCGCACGGGUGAGUAACACGUAUCCAACCUGCCGUCUACUCUUGGCCAGCCUUCUGAAAGGAAGAUUAAUCCAGGAUGGCAUCAUGAGUUCACAUGUCCGCAUGAUUAAAGGUAUUUUCCGGUAGACGAUGGGGAUGCGUUCCAUUAGAUAGUAGGCGGGGUAACGGCCCACCUAGUCAACGAUGGAUAGGGGUUCUGAGAGGAAGGUCCCCCACAUUGGAACUGAGACACGGUCCAAACUCCUACGGGAGGCAGCAGUGAGGAAUAUUGGUCAAUGGGCGGUGGCCUGAACCAGCCAAGUAGCGUGAAGGAUGACGG